AAUAGAUACCCGGGUAGUCCACGCCGUAAACGAUGAGUGCUAAGUGUUGGGGGGUUUCCGCUCCUCAGUGCUGCAGCUAACGCAUUAAGCACUCCGCCUGGGGAGUACGGUCGCAAGACUGAAACUCAAAGGAAUUGACGGGGGCCCGCACAAGCGGUGGAGCAUGUGGUUUAAUUCGAAGCAACGCGAAGAACCUUACCAGGUCUUGACAUCCCGGUGACCACUAUGGAGACAUAGUUUCCCCCUUCGGGGGUCGAACGGUGACAGGUGGUGCAUGGUUGUCGUCAGCUCGUGUCGUGAGAUGUUGGGUUAAGUCCCGCAACGAGCGCAACCCUUAUUCUUAGUUGCCAUCAUUCAGUUGGGCACUCUAAGGAGACUGCCGGUGAUAAACCGGAGGAAGGUGGGGAUGACGUCAAAUCAUCAUGCCCCUUAUGACCUGGGCUACACACGUGCUACAAUGGACGGUACAAACGGUUGCCAACCCGCGAAGGGGAGCUAAUCCGAUAAAACCGUUCUCAGUUCGGAUUGUAGGCUGCAACUCGCCUAC
RNAcentral lists this ribosomal RNA (547 nucleotides) under uncultured bacterium. RNAcentral's name for it is "bacterial SSU rRNA". It matches the Rfam family "Bacterial small subunit ribosomal RNA", at positions 777 to 1319 of the family's 1533-position model. The record is from RNAcentral.